CUGGGCCCAGAGCCCCUGGCUCACUCAGGGCCCCAGGGGAAGGCUGCUUAUAGUUCAAGUCCCAGCUGAGCCUUGCCAAGCUCCAUAGGGCUUAUAGGCGCUAGCAACUCCUCCCACUUCAAAAAACAAAACAAAACAAAACAAACAAAAAAAAACAACUCAGGAGUUAAAGAAAAAAAAAAAAGCAGUCCAGCACUCUGAGCCUCCCUAACUCCCUGCCUGCAGCAGGACCAGGUAGGCCUGGAUCAAUCCCCUGAACCCCAGAUGAGGAAUCCAGGGCUCCGGUGAGCGUGCUUUGCCCUGCCCCAAAUGUGGCCCUGAUGCUCCUGGAACCUGGGCCUGAGGGCCUCAGUUGGG
Molecule: long non-coding RNA, 357 nt
Filed under: Homo sapiens (human)
Lineage: Eukaryota; Metazoa; Chordata; Mammalia; Primates; Hominidae
Description: HSALNT0243729
Source: RNAcentral